GGGCUAGUAGCUCAGUUGGUUAGAGCACACCCCUGAUAAGGGUGAGGUCGAAGGUUCGAGCCCUUUCUGGCCCA
Molecule: transfer RNA, 74 nt
Filed under: Planctomycetota bacterium
Lineage: Bacteria; Pseudomonadati; Planctomycetota
Description: Planctomycetes bacterium tRNA-Ile
Rfam family: tRNA
About the family: Transfer RNA (tRNA) molecules are approximately 80 nucleotides in length. Their secondary structure includes four short double-helical elements and three loops (D, anti-codon, and T loops).
Source: RNAcentral